GUGGGCAGCAGACAGUGACCUCCUCACAGGUCCGGGAGCACCAGACUGCAAACAGCAGCCUCUGAGAGGCCUGAGGCACAAUGGAGAAAGGAAAGGGAGUGUCCAGAAAAGGACGGAAGCUGGCAUCCAGCCGGCGGAGGCAGGCGCGAGAGCCAGCUGAUGGUCAGGAUGCCCCUGUGGCCCCGGAGGCUGAGUCCUGGCCCUCUGAUGCUGAUGCAGAGCUUCAGGGCUUCUUCCAGGACUGUGGAGCCAAGGAGAGGGGCUUUGUCACCCAGGAGGAUCUGAAGAAAAUGUCUUUGGCUCCAGCCCCGGUACCCACAGACUCCGCACAAAUCGGUCAUUGCCCUCU
Molecule: long non-coding RNA, 349 nt
Filed under: Mus pahari (shrew mouse)
Lineage: Eukaryota; Metazoa; Chordata; Mammalia; Rodentia; Muridae
Description: lncRNA (MGP_PahariEiJ_G0005230.1)
Source: RNAcentral